GCUGACUCUCUUUUCAGAUUCAGCCCAGUUGCACCCAAGUAAAAUAAACAGUCUUGUUGCUCACACAAAGCCUGUUGGUGGACUCUCUUCAUAUGGACUCAUGUGACAUUUGGUGCCGAAGACCUGAGACAGGAGGACUCCUUUGGGAGACCGGUCCCCUGUCCUCGCCCUCUCUCCAUGAGAUCCACCCAUGACCUCGGGUCCUCAGCCCAGCCGAAGGAACUUCUCACCAAUUUUAAAUCGGGGACGCAAAGCCAACAAGAAUGAAGAAGUGGCCAGCUGCCAAACAGGGAAGGGCCGCCUGUCCAGUGGAUACAUGACCCACAUGACCUUACCUAUCAUUGGAGAUGGCUCACACUGCUCACCCUGCCCCCUUGUCUUGUAUCCAAUAAAUAACAGCGCAGCCUGGCAUUCGGGGCCACUACUGGUCACUGUGUCUUGGUGGUAGUGGUUCCCCGGGCCCAGCUGUUUUUUCUUUUA
This 480-nucleotide long non-coding RNA is filed under the name Homo sapiens (human). Its description in RNAcentral is "IGFL2 antisense RNA 1". The record is from RNAcentral. Lineage: Eukaryota; Metazoa; Chordata; Mammalia; Primates; Hominidae.